CAAUAUAUAGCUUAAGGGUAAAGCGCUAUAUUUACGCUAUAGGGAGUAAAAGUUCGACUCUUUUUAUAUUGA
Molecule: transfer RNA, 72 nt
Filed under: Tethya wilhelma
Lineage: Eukaryota; Metazoa; Porifera; Demospongiae; Tethyida; Tethyidae
Description: trnV
Rfam family: tRNA
About the family: Transfer RNA (tRNA) molecules are approximately 80 nucleotides in length.
Source: RNAcentral